This 506-nucleotide ribosomal RNA is filed under the name uncultured bacterium. Its description in RNAcentral is "partial 16S ribosomal RNA". It matches the Rfam family "Bacterial small subunit ribosomal RNA", at positions 30 to 523 of the family's 1533-position model. The record is from RNAcentral.
AUUGAACGCUGGCGGCAUGCCUUACACAUGCAAGUCGAACGGCAGCAUGGAAGAGCUUGCUCUUCUGAUGGCGAGUGGCGAACGGGUGAGUAAAGCAUCGGAACGUACCGUGUAAUGGGGGAUAACGUAGCGAAAGUUACGCUAAUACCGCAUACGACCUGAGGGUGAAAGCAGGGGAUCGCAAGACCUGGCGUUAUACGAGCGGCCGAUGUCAGAUUAGCUAGUUGGUAGGGUAAAGGCCUACCAAGGCGACGAUCUGUAGCGGGUCUGAGAGGAUGAUCCGCCACACUGGGACUGAGACACGGCCCAGACUCCUACGGGAGGCAGCAGUGGGGAAUUUUGGACAAUGGGGGCAACCCUGAUCCAGCCAUGCCGCGUGAGUGAAGAAGGCCUUCGGGUUGUAAAGCUCUUUCGGCCGGGAAGAAAUCGCACAGGCUAAUACUCUGUGUGGAUGACGGUACCGGCAUAAGAAGCACCGGCUAACUACGUGCCAGCCGCCGCGGUAA